GACUCCUCUAAUUUCUACCAUCUGAUUCAGAGCUAACUUCUGAGCGAGAGAGCGAGAGAGCGAGAGAGAGUCCAGAUGAAAGAGAAACCUAGAUCUGGUCGCUCGCGUCUCUGGACGAGAUUCGAGAAUGGAGCCCUAUGGCAAAAUACGAACCAUAAAUCGUUGCCAUUGCCUUGUCCGGAGCUGGAUCCGAACAAGGCAAUGAUUUAGGGUUUCGGAUGGUGCAGAGAGAAUGAUGAGAUCGUUCGUCUCUGCGUCGACGAUGAAGAUCACAACAGUCCACAACGUAGCUAUUUCGCGCGGAUUAGGAUCUGUGUCAGAUUACGGUGACCAGGAGCUAGUGAAUCUAGAGGUGAUUAACCAUUUAGUUACCACAGUGAAGCCAGAGGGAAAAUGAAGGCAAAGGAUGAGAGUCAAAUGGGAAAGAGGGUUGGACCACACGGCCGGCAUGGAUUUUUCCAAGUUUUUUUUAAUCUCUUUAAGUGGAUUUGGUUUUUUUUAAAUUUGCAGUCGAUAUUUUAAUUUCUUUUAAAAUGGCCAGAUUACAUGUUAGGAGUGGAACCCUGGAUAACUGAAUGGUUGGCCCAAUCAGGCAUAAAAAUCGACUGCGUACAUAGAUAAAAAGCCCGGAGCGAACGUUCCAGCUUGCUCUUAAAUCAACCGCUUGGGCAAAUGGCUUUACUUUGACUUUUAGAUUAUAGGCGCAUUACAAAAUUUGAGAUUCAGUAAGAUAGACUGAUCAAGUGUUUCAAUAUCAUCAAACUUGUUAGUAUUGUUGGUGGCGAAUUCAUGGCUACAAACGUAAUUGGGCGGCAAUCUCAGAUUUAUGGGCACGGAAUCAAUUGUGCGAUUAAGACAA
Prunus persica (peach) is the source of this 859-nucleotide long non-coding RNA. RefSeq lists it as uncharacterized. The transcript is spliced from 3 exons. NCBI's taxonomy places the organism in Eukaryota, Viridiplantae, Streptophyta, Magnoliopsida, Rosales, Rosaceae. The record is from RefSeq and is a predicted model, not a curated record.